GAUCCUGGCUCAGGACGAACGCUGGCGGCGUGCUUAACACAUGCAAGUCGAACGCUGAAGCCCAGCUUGCUGGGUGGAUGAGUGGCGAACGGGUGAGUAACACGUGAGUAACCUGCCCCCUUCUUUGGGAUAACGCCCGGAAACGGGUGCUAAUACUGGAUAUUCACUGGCCUUCGCAUGGGGGUUGGUGGAAAGGUUUUUUCUUGGUGGGGGAGUGGGCUCGCGGCCUAUCAGCUUGUUGGUGGGGUGAUGGCCU
This 256-nucleotide ribosomal RNA is filed under the name uncultured bacterium. Its description in RNAcentral is "partial 16S ribosomal RNA". It matches the Rfam family "Bacterial small subunit ribosomal RNA", at positions 15 to 266 of the family's 1533-position model. The record is from RNAcentral.